Long non-coding RNA from Brassica oleracea var. oleracea, 705 nucleotides. RefSeq lists it as uncharacterized. The record is from RefSeq and is a predicted model, not a curated record. NCBI's taxonomy places the organism in Eukaryota, Viridiplantae, Streptophyta, Magnoliopsida, Brassicales, Brassicaceae. The transcript is spliced from 4 exons.
CUGCACCGGGCACUGGAUUUAACAUGGACAAAGGCUGGUGCUAUGAAGCUUCAGCGGACGGUCUCAUCCUUUACUUGCGCAACCUGCAAUAACACCAACGCCAUUGGUGUCCUUCGUUUAUCUUAUGUAUCGUGUGGAGAUGACUAUUGUUGCUGAGACUGCUGAAAGUCUAUUUGUUGGUUUCGAUGGAGAAAUGCAAAAGUUACAUAACAUCCGAGCUUUUGAAGCUGCAUCUUUUGGCUGGAGAGGGAGAGAAUCCAGAGCACACAGCUACCCCUUUUAUUGCACAGAUGGCUGGCAAGACUUGCACCUUCCACGUCAGAGUAAGCAGCUACAAUUUCACUGCCAAUCACCAAACCUUCACUAUAUCACGCAUCUUGAACUAACGUGACCGUCUGCCACUCCCUGAAUUUGUUGCCCAUUCUUAACAGGAUGGUAACGAUGAUCAUGGCGGUGAUAUGCCUGGGAAUAUCUCAGGGCCUACUAAGGUGGACACUGAUGGCGACGACUGUGAGGAAGCACCGACUAUAGGAACUACUUCAACUGGUGUCACCAAUAAGCCUCCCGCAACAGCAACUUCCAAGGUUGCCAAGAAGACACGCAUCGCAUAGGCGAAGAUCAUUAAGUUUUUCUACGCACUAUUUUCUGUUUGAAUAAUGCUUUUGGCAUCAAUAUGUGUUAUCCUUAAUGUUAACUUCACUUUUU